UAAGGGCGCACGGUGGAUGCCUUGGCACUAGAAGCCGAUGAAGGACGUUACUAACGACGAUAUGCUUUGGGGAGCUGUAAGUAAGCUUUGAUCCAGAGAUUUCCGAAUGGGGAAACCCAGCAUGAGUUAUGUCAUGUUAUCGAUAUGUGAAUACAUAGCAUAUCAGAAGGCACACCCGGAGAACUGAAACAUCUUAGUACCCGGAGGAAGAGAAAGAAAAUUCGAUUCCCUUAGUAGCGGCGAGCGAAACGGGAAGAGCCCAAACCAACAAGCUUGCUUGUUGGGGUUGUAGGACACUCUAUACGGAGUUACAAAGGACGACAUUAGACGAAUCAUCUGGAAAGAUGAAUCAAAGAAGGUAAUAAUCCUGUAGUCGAAAAUGUUGUCUCUCUUGAGUGGAUCCUGAGUACGACGGAGCACGUGAAAUUCCGUUGGAAUCUGGGAGGACCAUCUCCUAAGGCUAAAUACUCUCUAGUGACCGAUAGUGAACCAGUACCGUGAGGGAAAGGUGAAAAGCACCCCGGAAGGGGAGUGAAAUAGAACCUGAAACCGUGUGCUUACAAGUAGUCAGAGCCCGUUAAUGGGUGAUGGCGUGCCUUUUGUAGAAUGAACCGGCGAGUUACGAUUUGAUGCAAGGUUAAGCAGUAAAUGUGGAGCCGUAGCGAAAGCGAGUCUGAAUAGGGCGUUUAGUAUUUGGUCGUAGACCCGAAACCAGGUGAUCUACCCUUGGUCAGGUUGAAGUUCAGGUAACACUGAAUGGAGGACCGAACCGACUUACGUUGAAAAGUGAGCGGAUGAACUGAGGGUAGCGGAGAAAUUCCAAUCGAACCUGGAGAUAGCUGGUUCUCUCCGAAAUAGCUUUAGGGCUAGCCUCAAGUGAUGAUUAUUGGAGGUAGAGCACUGUUUGGACGAGGGGCCCCUCUCGGGUUACCGAAUUCAGACAAACUCCGAAUGCCAAUUAAUUUAACUUGGGAGUCAGAACAUGGGUGAUAAGGUCCGUGUUCGAAAGGGAAACAGCCCAGACCACCAGCUAAGGUCCCAAAAUAUAUGUUAAGUGGAAAAGGAUGUGGCGUUGCCCAGACAACUAGGAUGUUGGCUUAGAAGCAGCCAUCAUUUAAAGAGUGCGUAAUAGCUCACUAGUCGAGU
This 1146-nucleotide ribosomal RNA is filed under the name Staphylococcus aureus. Its description in RNAcentral is "partial 23S ribosomal RNA". It matches the Rfam family "Bacterial large subunit ribosomal RNA", at positions 12 to 1154 of the family's 2925-position model. Lineage: Bacteria; Bacillati; Bacillota; Bacilli; Caryophanales; Staphylococcaceae. The record is from RNAcentral.